RNAcentral lists this small RNA (413 nucleotides) under uncultured Entrophospora. RNAcentral describes it as "SSU rRNA". It matches the Rfam family "Eukaryotic small subunit ribosomal RNA", at positions 569 to 985 of the family's 1831-position model. Lineage: Eukaryota; Fungi; Glomeromycota; Glomeromycetes; Entrophosporales; Entrophosporaceae. The record is from RNAcentral.
AGCAGCCGCGGUAAUUCCAGCUCCAAUAGCGUAUAUUAAAGUUGUUGCAGUUAAAAAGCUCGUAGUUGAAUUUCGGGGUCAGUAGGUCGGUCAUGCCACUGGUAUGUACUGGUCUCACUGAUUCCUCCUUCCUGAUGAACCGUAAUGCCAUUAAUUUGGUGUUGCGGGGAGACUGGACUGUUACUUUGAAAAAUUAGAGUGUUUAAAGCAGGCUAACGCUUGAAUACAUUAGCAUGGAAUAACGGAAUAGGACGUUCGAUCUUAUUUUGUUGGUUUCUAAGAUUGACGUAAUGAUUAAUAGGGAUAGUUGGGGGCAUUAGUAUUCAAUUGUCAGAGGUGAAAUUCUUGGAUUUAUUGAAGACUAACUACUUGCGAAAGCAAUUUGCCAAGGAUGUCUUCAUUAAUCAAGAACG